AUCAAAGUACUACUCUUCAGAUCGCAUAAAUCUUUCACCUUUUACUAAAGAUUUCCAUGGAGAGGAACAUUUAUGAGUUUCAACUAAUUUUUUGAUGCCCUGCUUUGGCGGGGCU
This is a small nuclear RNA of Polyodon spathula (Mississippi paddlefish), 115 nucleotides long. RefSeq annotates it as U5 spliceosomal RNA. The record is from RefSeq and is a predicted model, not a curated record. The transcript has a single exon. Lineage: Eukaryota; Metazoa; Chordata; Actinopteri; Acipenseriformes; Polyodontidae.